UCAAACCUGAAAAGAAUUGUC
RNAcentral lists this non-coding RNA (21 nucleotides) under Mus musculus (house mouse). Lineage: Eukaryota; Metazoa; Chordata; Mammalia; Rodentia; Muridae. The record is from RNAcentral.